AGUAGAUGAGAGAUAAGUGAAUGUGGACAAACCUGUCACGUAGGACGAGGUGGCCGAGUGGUUAAGGCGAUGGACUGCUAAUCCAUUGUGCUUUGCACGCGUGGGUUCGAAUCCCAUCCUCGUCGGCCCUGUUUUAUAGAGGUUGGGGGGGAAGCAUCUACAUUUUCACAUCCUGCCUAUUUGGAGCAGCAAGCUGGAGGUGCGAGGGGUGAGGCAUCUAAAUUUUCACAUCCUGCCUGUGGAGCAGCAAGCUGAAGAAAACUGAACUGGGGCCCAGAGCAAAAACACACACUGAGUACCUGGUCUCUGCCAGGAACUGUGUUAGGCACGAGGGAUGGGCCUUGGAGGAGACACAGGUAUUGUCCUUGAGAGUUUCCACUGGUGACCUUGGCUGUAAAGAGGAGAAAAAUUGAAGGUGGCGGGUUCCUGUAGUCCCAGCUA
Molecule: transfer RNA, 441 nt
Filed under: Homo sapiens (human)
Lineage: Eukaryota; Metazoa; Chordata; Mammalia; Primates; Hominidae
Description: HSALNT0363404
Rfam family: tRNA (bases 44-125)
Source: RNAcentral